CCUACGGGAGGCAGCAGUGGGGAAUAUUGGGCAAUGGGCGCAAGCCUGACCCAGCAACGCCGCGUGAAGGAAGAAGGCUUUCGGGUUGUAACCUUCUUUUAUCAGGGACGAAGCAAGUGACGGUACCUGAUGAUUAAGCCACGGCUAACUACGUGCCAGCAGCCGCGGUAAUACGUAGGUGGCAAGCGUUAUCCGGAUUUACUGGGUGUAAAGGGCGUGUAGGCGGGCGUGCAAGUCAGAUGUGAAAACUAUGGGGUCAACCCAUAGCGUGCAUUUGAAACUGUACUUCUUGAGUGCUGGAGAGGCAAUCGGAAUUCCGGGUGUAGCGGUGAAAUGCGUAGAUAUACGGAGGAACACCAGUGGCGAAGGCGGAUUGCUGGACAGUAACUGACGCUGAGGCGCGAAAGCGUGGGGAGCAAACAGGAUUAGAUACCCUAGUAGUC
This 443-nucleotide ribosomal RNA is filed under the name uncultured bacterium. RNAcentral describes it as "partial 16S ribosomal RNA". It matches the Rfam family "Bacterial small subunit ribosomal RNA", at positions 338 to 795 of the family's 1533-position model. The record is from RNAcentral.